CGGGGUGUGGCCCAGCUCGGUUUAAGGCGUCUGGUUUGGGACCAGAAGAUCGAGAGUUCGAAUCUCUCCACCCCGA
RNAcentral lists this transfer RNA (76 nucleotides) under Patescibacteria group bacterium. RNAcentral's name for it is "tRNA-Pro". It matches the Rfam family "tRNA". Rfam says of the family: Transfer RNA (tRNA) molecules are approximately 80 nucleotides in length. The record is from RNAcentral. RNAcentral also lists the same sequence under 1 other name.